RNAcentral lists this ribosomal RNA (558 nucleotides) under Ilyograpsus rhizophorae. Its description in RNAcentral is "partial large subunit ribosomal RNA". It matches the Rfam family "Bacterial large subunit ribosomal RNA", at positions 1889 to 2632 of the family's 2925-position model. The record is from RNAcentral. Lineage: Eukaryota; Metazoa; Arthropoda; Malacostraca; Decapoda; Macrophthalmidae.
GUUCCUUCGUAUCUGACUGCUCACUGAAUAUUUUUAAGAGCCGCGGUAUUUUGACCGUGCAAAGGUAGCGUAAUCGUUAGUUUCUUAAUUGGAAUCCUGUAUGAAUGGUUAGAUAAAAGAAAUUCUGUCUUUAUAUUAAAAAUUGAAUUUAACUUUUGAGUGAAAAGGCUUAAAUUUAUUAAAAAGACGAUAAGACCCUAUAAAGCUUAACUUUUAUAAUUUUUUUAUAAGAAUUAAUUUGUAUAAAAGUUAAAAUAAUUAAAUUUGUUUUAUUGGGGUGAUAAAAGUAAAAUGGUUUUUAACUGCUUAAGUUUAGUUUCAUAAAUAUAUGAUUGAUAUGUAAAUGAUCCUUUUUAAAGAUUCAAAGUUCAAGUUACUUUAGGGAUAACAGCGUUAUUUUUUUUGAGAGUACAAAUCGAAAAAAAAGUUUGCGACCUCGAUGUUGAAUUAAAAUUCCUUUACAGAUGUAAAAACUGUAAAAGUUGGUCUGUUCGACCUUUAAAAUUUUACGUGAUCUGAGUUCAGACCGGAAGUUUAAGAAUUUUCCCUCGGCUGGCC